GACGAAGACACUCGGGUAGUAAUAUUCGAGUGGACUGAGUGGCGAAAGGGGCAGUAACGCAUGGGCAACCUACCUCGGGGAUGGGCAUAGCCGGUCUAACGGCCGGGUAAUUCCCAGCGAUUUGGCGAGUCGGCAUCGAUUUGCCAAGAAAUGGAUUCCGCCUCGAGAGGGGCUCAUGUCGUAUUAGCUUGUUGGCGGGGUAACGGCCCACCAAGGCAAAGAUGCGUAGCGGGUGUGAGAGCACGACCCGCGCCACUGGCACUGAGACACUGGCCAGACACCUACGGGUGGCUGCAGUCGAGGAUCUUCGGCAAUGGGCGCAAGCCUGACCGAGCGACGCCGCGUGUGCGAUGAAGGCCUUCGGGUUGUAAAGCACUGUCGAGGGGGAUAAAACCGCAAGGUUGAUAGAUCCCUGGAGGAAGCACGGGCUAAGUUCGUGCCAGCAGCCGCGGUAAGACGAACCGUGCGAACGUUGUUCGGAAUCACUGGGCUUAAAGGGCGCGUAGGCGGUUUGCCAAGUCAGGGGUGAAAUCCUGCAGCUCAACUGUAGAAGUGCCUUUGAUACUGGCGAACUCGAGGGAGGUAGGGGGUGGGUGGAACUUCUGGUGGAGCGGUGAAAUGCGUUGAUAUCAGAAGGAACGCCGGUGGCGAAAGCGACCCACUGGACCUCUUCUAACGCUGAGGCGCGAAAGCCAGGGGAGCAAACGGGAUUAGAUACCCCGGUAGUCCUGGCCCUAAACGAUGGGCACUAGAUUGUAGACUGGUCAUGGGUUUACAGUCGAAGCAAAAGUGGUAAGUGCC
RNAcentral lists this ribosomal RNA (801 nucleotides) under uncultured bacterium. RNAcentral describes it as "bacterial SSU rRNA". It matches the Rfam family "Bacterial small subunit ribosomal RNA", at positions 65 to 868 of the family's 1533-position model. The record is from RNAcentral.